CUGGGUCUCUAGCCUACGGUGGGUCCACCCUGUCCGUUUCAAAUGUAGAAAAAUCAACGCUAUUCGACUCACCGCAAGGACAGCUGGAUAAUCUGGAGGAAACCGAGAGCUUAUUGAAGAUAAGUAAGAGACACGCUGAGAUACAUCAUGUUGCAAAGGUAGU
Long non-coding RNA from Penaeus monodon (black tiger shrimp), 163 nucleotides. RefSeq lists it as uncharacterized. The record is from RefSeq and is a predicted model, not a curated record. Lineage: Eukaryota; Metazoa; Arthropoda; Malacostraca; Decapoda; Penaeidae. The transcript has 3 exons.